UACAGAGGUCUCAAGCGUUGUUCGGAUUCAUUGGGCGUAAAGGGUGCGUAGGCGGCGCGGUAAGUCGGGUGUGAAAUCUCGGGGCUUAACUCCGAAACUGUAUUCGAUACUGCCGUGCUUGAGGACUGGAGAGGAGACUGGAAUUUACGGUGUAGCGGUGAAAUGCGUAGAUAUCGUAAGGAAGACCAGUGGCGAAGGCGGGUCUCUGGGCUGACACUGACGCUCAUGCACGAAAGCGUGGGGAGCGAACAGG
Molecule: ribosomal RNA, 253 nt
Filed under: uncultured bacterium
Lineage: Bacteria
Description: partial 16S ribosomal RNA
Rfam family: Bacterial small subunit ribosomal RNA
Source: RNAcentral